CGGACUCUAAAUAAACAAAACGAAAGACUAGAAGACUCAACAACAAUAGACACGAAACGAAAAACAAAACAAAGACACGAAAACAAAGACUGACUCAAAAAAUAAAGAUAAAGGAUAGGCGAAACCUUCUUAGGAAGAUGGCUCUGAGUACCAAAUGAUACGAACCACGCCAACAUCGUGACGAGACCCGGUAUCAAUACUUCGGAUAUCAAAUCC
Molecule: long non-coding RNA, 216 nt
Filed under: Erythranthe guttata (spotted monkey flower)
Lineage: Eukaryota; Viridiplantae; Streptophyta; Magnoliopsida; Lamiales; Phrymaceae
Description: long non-coding RNA (EGUT_LNC001892)
Source: RNAcentral